Long non-coding RNA from Thalassophryne amazonica, 280 nucleotides. RefSeq lists it as uncharacterized. The transcript has 3 exons. NCBI's taxonomy places the organism in Eukaryota, Metazoa, Chordata, Actinopteri, Batrachoidiformes, Batrachoididae. The record is from RefSeq and is a predicted model, not a curated record.
CCUGGAUAUCCCAGCCAGGAAUAAUGGAAUAGGACUGUAGUUCUAUUUUGUGGUUUUUCUUCUCUUAACUUGGUGCCAUGAUUAAGAGGGACAGUCAGGGGCUAGAGGUGAAAUUAUUGGAUCAAGAAUGUUUUCAUUAAUCAGGAACAAAAGUCAGACUUUGGAAGACUAUCAGAUACCAUCGUAGUUCGGACCAUAAGCGAUGCCAACUAGCGAUCCGGCAGCGUUAUUCUCAUGACCCGCCAGGCAGCCUCCAGUGAAAUAAAGGUCUUUUGGGGAU